UACGGAGGGUGCAAGCGUUAAUCGGAAUCACUGGGCGUAAAGCGCGCGUAGGCGGCUUUUUAAGUCAGGGGUGAAAGCCCACGGCUCAACCGUGGAACUGCCUUUGAUACUGGAGAGCUUGAGUGUGUGAGAGGAUAGUGGAAUUCCUGGUGUAGGAGUGAAAUCCGUAGAGAUCAGGAGGAAGAUCAGUGGCGAAGGCGACUAUCUGGCACAAUACUGACGCUGAGGUGCGAAAGCGUGGGUAGCAAACAGG
Molecule: ribosomal RNA, 253 nt
Filed under: uncultured bacterium
Lineage: Bacteria
Description: partial 16S ribosomal RNA
Rfam family: Bacterial small subunit ribosomal RNA
Source: RNAcentral